UGGGGAAUUUUGGACAAUGGGCGCAAGCCUGAUCCAGCAAUGCCGCGUGUGUGAAGAAGGCCUUCGGGUUGUAAAGCACUUUUGUCCGGAAAGAAAACCUCGUGGUUAAUACCCGUGGGGGAUGACGGUACCGGAAGAAUAAGCACCGGCUAACUACGUGCCAGCAGCCGCGGUAAUACGUAGGGUGCAAGCGUUAAUCGGAAUUACUGGGCGUAAAGCGUGCGCAGGCGGUUCGCUAAGACAGAUGUGAAAUCCCCGGGCUUAACCUGGGAACUGCAUUUGUGACUGGCGGGCUAGAGUAUGGCAGGGGGGGGUAGAAUUCCACGUGUAGCAGUGAAAUGCGUAGAGAUGUGGAGGAAUACCGAUGGCGAAGGCAGCCCCCUGGGCCAAUACUGACGCUCAUGCACGAAAGCGUGGGGAGCAAACAGG
RNAcentral lists this ribosomal RNA (429 nucleotides) under Bacillota bacterium. RNAcentral's name for it is "Firmicutes bacterium partial 16S ribosomal RNA". It matches the Rfam family "Bacterial small subunit ribosomal RNA", at positions 355 to 776 of the family's 1533-position model. The record is from RNAcentral. Lineage: Bacteria; Bacillati; Bacillota.